This 72-nucleotide transfer RNA is filed under the name Desulfovibrionaceae bacterium. RNAcentral's name for it is "tRNA-Glu". It matches the Rfam family "tRNA". From Rfam's summary of the family: Transfer RNA (tRNA) molecules are approximately 80 nucleotides in length. Their secondary structure includes four short double-helical elements and three loops (D, anti-codon, and T loops). Lineage: Bacteria; Pseudomonadati; Thermodesulfobacteriota; Desulfovibrionia; Desulfovibrionales; Desulfovibrionaceae. The record is from RNAcentral.
AAGGAUUUGCAAUGGACGCUUCAACGGCCUUUCACGCCGUCGACAGGGGUUCAAAUCCCCUUGGGGACGCCA